RNAcentral lists this ribosomal RNA (390 nucleotides) under Triticum aestivum (bread wheat). RNAcentral's name for it is "partial small subunit ribosomal RNA". Lineage: Eukaryota; Viridiplantae; Streptophyta; Magnoliopsida; Poales; Poaceae. The record is from RNAcentral.
AUGGUAUUACCGGAAAAGGAGAAUAUCCAGGAGAAGGUGCUCCAACUCAAUUGUGCCAAGCUGAUUGGUUUGCUUAGGAGAGCAUUGCUGACGAAGCAAGCCCUAACAGGACUUUAUUUCAAUGUUGCUAUCCCGCCGAAUGCUACAGACAUGUGUGUGCUCCCUGAAAGUAUGUUGUCAAAACAGGCACUUGAGACCGAUCCCAAGUUCAAAGCCAUUAAGGUAAGGCUUGUUCAUGCAAAGGAUGAUUCAUUGCUAUAUGCUGAUGUUGGGCAAGACUUUGUUGAUCUUGUCUUUGGACUUCUUACCACUCCAGUCGGAGCCGUACUGAAGACUUUCAGCAAGUUACCCCAAACCGGAUGUAUUGAAAAUAUAUACAAGAUAGUAUAG